AGAAACUUAAGUUACGCAAACUAAGAGCCUUCAAAACUCUAAACAGGGACACAACCCUAGUUUCUG
RNAcentral lists this transfer RNA (66 nucleotides) under Wetmorena agasepsoides. RNAcentral describes it as "Celestus agasepsoides tRNA-Trp". Lineage: Eukaryota; Metazoa; Chordata; Lepidosauria; Squamata; Diploglossidae. The record is from RNAcentral.